AGGAAUUCCACACAGUGUUUGGAACACAAGGAUGAAUCCUGAUGGCUCCCGCUGGUUGCUAGGUAACGUCUGUUUGGUACAAUCUGGUUCACAUCAUAAUGGUUCUUUUGCCAACAGGAGCUGGUAAUCAGGAUGGCAGUGAGGCAGGCACUUGCUUGCAGAAGAACAGGCCUAGUUUUUUAAGAAGCCACAAAAGUGUCUUUGGAUGAUUAGGAUCUAAGGGGCCAACAGCUUUGCAAUAACAGCAUAAAUAUUGUGGGCUGGAUGGACAGGCACCAAAUGGGGACAUUCCAUCCUGCUGUGUGAUGAGAAAGCUGCCACUUUUGAGGCCUUCCAAAACAAAUCAACACUCCAUAUGCCAGAAGGAAAAGCCCAGGAAAGACCUAUUCCAACUGGAGAUGGUGAAUGUCAUUUCUUCAAGAAGCUGAGAUCCAGCUGGUACUGCCAGGUGGAGAGUGAGUUGGGUAGCUGACCUCGGGCAUGGCAGCCUUGGUUUUUGGCCACUUCAUGGGGUGACCUGUUGAGCAAACAGCAGUGGAAUUCUGCAGCUGUGGACCAAGAUGAAUACGAAGGGAGAAUGAAACAAAACUGCUCCGCUUAGGGAACUUGGAAAGGAAAUUGAAAAGGCAAGGCACAGGCUGGAAGAAAAUAUUUGAAAAAGAUUUAUGUGAACUUCUUUCUGGAUUAUACAAAAUAUUUUUAGAUAUUCUUACAACUCUAAAAUAAGAUAACUCCUUAAAAAUCUAAAUUCUACCAAAGGAGAGAUAAAGAUGACGAAUACAUUCAAAGAUGCUGAAAAUCACUUAUUUAUUAUUAGGAAGUUACAAGCUAAAGCAUAAUGAGAUACCACUACAACCUACUAAACUGACUAAAAUUAAUCAGACUAACCAGGUGUUGGCAAGAAACAGGGACACUGAGACUCUCACACUGCUGGAAGGAAUGUAAAAUGCUAAAACUUCUUUGGAAAUGAGUUCAGUAACUUUUUAAACAGUUGAAAAUAGACCUAUCAUGCAAACCAGCAAUCCCACUUCCAGGUAUUUAUACAAGGAAAAUGACAACAUAUGCCCACAUAAAGACUUGUGCACAAAUGACCGUAGCAGCUUUGUGAUAAUUGCUAAAAACUAGAAACUUGUCAAGUGUCCAACAGCUAAGGAAAUAGAGACAAACUACAUAAGUUGCUGAAAAAUCACAGCAAAUAAUUAGCUGAGGAAGAGACUCAAAUCUAUCAGAACUGCUUGACUUUUGAUCCUGAGCUUAUGCGCAUCCAGUGGGCAAGUGAGGGUGCAUGGGUUUGUGAAGACUCCAGCAGUAUGAUUGGGGACACAGGGUCUCCCUAUGUUGCCCAGGCUGGUAUCGAACUCUGUUGCCCAGGCUGGUAUUGAACUCCUGCGCUCAAGUGAUCCUCCUGCCUCAGCCUCCCAAAAUGCUGGGAUUACAGGUACAGGGUGAACUCCGAGACCAUCUCUCCUAUUCAUUUACAUCCUCAGAACUUAGCACGAUGUCUGACCAUAGUGGAUUUUCAAUAAGUAACUAUGGGUUGACAUGCAGGCUGGACAUACAGUGGGCCUCGAUUGCUUAGAAGCCAAACUGAACUCACCAAGAAAAGAAGACAGGAGAAACUUCUCAAGAGGAAUAUCUCCAAAUUGCAGGAUCGAAUACCAUAAGAGGAAUUCUGGACUGAAGAGUUAUGAAGUCAUUUCAGACACUUCCAGACAAUUUGUGUUAAUUAAAUUCUCACUGGUUGAGUUCCAUUCUACACUGGAAGAGCAUUUUUCCUGGAAAGGCUCCUCAAAAUGGACACCAUCAAGAGUCACCUCCUCAGUGAAGCCUUCCAUGGUUUCAUACCACCCAUCCCUAUCGGAAUGAAUGUAUCCUUGUUCUCCGUUAUCCCAGUAUUUUGCCUGGGCUUCUGUCACACUACUUUCAAUGUCUAUACCUCAGUUAUCGAAUCGAAAAACAAGAGUCAUCAGUCUCUAAGGUCCUUGCAAGCUUCAAAACUUUAUAUUUUUGUCAAUUACAACUGAAUAAAGCUGAACAACUUAUUAUUUAUGGAUACUUGCUCAAGCACCAUAUAACUCUUUCAGAUAUUUUAAAAGAAUAUGUUUGCAAAAGACUCCAAAUCAAUGUAUUAAAUUGAAAUCCAGUAUCAAAACACCCAUUAAAGUGCUCUUUUGAAAUUGUACAUUUUAUAUCAAUAAAAUUUCAAAAUAUAAAAACCUCUAUUUUACUUGUUGAAUUCUUAGGAAUAAUAACUAAACAGUUUUAAAAUAUUAGUAGAAAGAUGGUGUCUUUGA
RNAcentral lists this long non-coding RNA (2294 nucleotides) under Homo sapiens (human). RNAcentral describes it as "HSALNT0292449". Lineage: Eukaryota; Metazoa; Chordata; Mammalia; Primates; Hominidae. The record is from RNAcentral.